GACGUAGGGUGCGAGCGUUGUCCGGAUUUAUUGGGCGUAAAGAGCUCGUAGGCGGCUCGUCGCGUCGACCGUGAAAACCCGCGGCUUAACUGCGGGCUUGCGGUUGAUACGGGCGGGCUAGAGUUCGGUAGGGGAGACUGGAAUUCCUGGUGUAGCGGUGAAAUGCGCAGAUAUCAGGAGGAACACCGGUGGCGAAGGCGGUUCUCUGGGCCGAUACUGACGCUGAGGAGCGAAAGCGUGGGGAGCGAACAGG
This 253-nucleotide ribosomal RNA is filed under the name uncultured bacterium. RNAcentral describes it as "partial 16S ribosomal RNA". It matches the Rfam family "Bacterial small subunit ribosomal RNA", at positions 524 to 776 of the family's 1533-position model. The record is from RNAcentral.